This 521-nucleotide ribosomal RNA is filed under the name uncultured bacterium. RNAcentral's name for it is "partial 16S ribosomal RNA". The record is from RNAcentral.
ACUGACAGCCAUGGUUACCGCGGCUGCUGGCACGGAGUUAGCCGGUGCUUCUUCUGUGAGUGAUGUCCUUCCUGCCGGCUAUUAACCCGCAGGCCUUCUUCCUCACUGAAAGUGCUUUACAACCCGAAGGCCUUCUUCACACACGCGGCAUGGCUGGAUCAGGGUUGCCCCCAUUGUCCAAUAUUCCCCACUGCUGCCUCCCGUAGGAGUCUGGGCCGUGUCUCAGUCCCAGUGUGGCUGAUCAUCCUCUCAGACCAGCUACGGAUCGUCGCCUUGGUGAGCCGUUACCUCACCAACCAGCUAAUCCGACAUAGGCUCAUCCGAUAGCGCGAGGCCCGGAAGGUUCCCCCGCUUUCCCCCGUAGGGCGUAUGCGGUAUUAGCCUGGGUUUCCCCCAGGUUAUCCCCCACUACCGGGCAGAUUCCUAUGCAUUACUCACCCGUCCGCCGCUCGCCACCAGGGAGCAAGCUCCCCGUGCUGCCGCUCGACUUGCAUGUGUUGGCCUGCCGCCAGCGUUCAAUC